UACGUAGGGGGCAAGCGUUGUCCGGAAUCAUUGGGCGUAAAGCGCACGUAGGCGGCCCUGUAAGUCCGUUGUGAAAGUCAAAGGCUCAACCUUUGAAUGCCGAUGGAUACUGCAGAGCUAGAGUCCGGAAGAGGCGAGUGGAAUUCCUGGUGUAGCGGUGGAAUGCGCAGAUAUCAGGAGGAACACCAAUAGCGAAGGCAGCUCGCUGGGACGGUACUGACGCUAAGGUGCGAAAGCGUGGGGAGCGAACAGG
RNAcentral lists this ribosomal RNA (253 nucleotides) under uncultured bacterium. Its description in RNAcentral is "partial 16S ribosomal RNA". It matches the Rfam family "Bacterial small subunit ribosomal RNA", at positions 524 to 776 of the family's 1533-position model. The record is from RNAcentral.